Long non-coding RNA from Vicia villosa (hairy vetch), 9183 nucleotides. RefSeq lists it as uncharacterized. Lineage: Eukaryota; Viridiplantae; Streptophyta; Magnoliopsida; Fabales; Fabaceae. The transcript has 6 exons. The record is from RefSeq and is a predicted model, not a curated record.
UUAAAACUUUCAUCUUCCUCACUAUACAAUAUCCCCAUCUUUUCCUUUUUCUUUUCUUAAUCAAAUAACAAACACCAUAACAACACAAGACAAAAGAAAGCAAUAUGAGAUGAAUAAAAAGCUAACCCAUGGUGGUUGAUUCGUCGGUAUCGGCGCGGAUGUGCAGAUCGGAGGGAGGUCGUGAUGUUGGUAGUUGUGUAUUGCUGGAGGCGUGCGGCUUGGCCUUUGCCGGUGCUGCUCCUUGCGGCCGGUGGCGGUGAACAGGCGGUGUCGCGGUGGUAGUUUUGCUGUUGCGAUUUGGAGGGUAGCUCGUGGUAGUGCGGUUGAUGGAACAUUCGUGGUUGCCGGCAUCGCACGGUUGUAGCAUGAUUGGAGAUGGUGUGUAGUCGGAGCCUUAUUCUGUCUUCUUUUCUUUUUUCUGCGAAAACAAACUGUAAAAAAAAACAAAAAAAAACAAAGUAAUUUAUAUGCAAUUUUUGGAUCUUGGAUUUUGUGGAAAUCUAUCUAUAAUAUAAGAAAAUUUACUGUUCUGGAUAUCACUAAAAUACCCUUUGAUUAUCUUAGUCUAAAUUAUUAAUUUUGGGGCAAAAAAUGUCUUUUGCUGUUUCUUCCAACCAAAAAGAUUUUUUCUAAUAAUUCUAUUUACUUUUCGCAACCCAUUCUCCCAAAAGACUGAUUUUUUUCUGAACCAAAACCUACUUUGCAAAACACACGCAAAGUCUCUUCUCUCUCAUCCGAACCCUCCUCUCUAUUCACAUUUUUUUUUUGAACUUGUCCCAUCCUCUUCUUUCUUCAUGAUUUCAAAAUGGCCAGUAUCAAAAUCUUUACCCCUCUCUCAUUUUUCAUUCAUCUUCUUUACCACCUAUGACCCAUGCUUUCUCUUUCACUCCGUCAACUCUCUCACUUUCUCUUUUCACUGAUUAUCUCUCCUCUCAAAUAUCUAUUUCUUCUGUUAUUUUUGUUGAUUAAGGUAAACUUUGUGUCUUUGUUCUUUCCUCUUUUACGUCGUUUUCUUCAUUAUCUCCUCUCUGACCUAACGGUAUUUCCGUCAAAACUGUGAAAUCGCAUUGGAGAAGGUGUAUUUGAAGUGUAAACAGACGGUGGUGUUACGGUUAUGCGUCUGGAUUCACGGUGACUAUGUGCGCUGAUGAUGAGGGCGACGGGAGUGAAGAUGGCAAAGAUUUCAUAUUUUUCAAAUCUAAUUUCAAGUUUUUCGUGAGGAUGUGUUCAAGAGUUAUGUUGAUACAUCAAUAACAAAUCAACAAGGAAGGUUGAUAUUUCUUUAGUUGGUGUGAAUGAAGGUCCACACAUGUAUUAUUGUAUGACUCGAAAAGAGAAAAAGUCACAGACAUGAAGAACCAAGUUUCAUAGCAUGGGACUGUCUGGAUCAACUAGCAGAAUCUUUUUGCCCAGACUAAGUUAGCUUAUUAGGUUGUUGGUCCAACCAAGUUGAAUGUUUUUGGGAUUGUAAAUAAUGAACAAGGUUAUAAAGGGAUUUGUGAUUUUCUUUCAAUACCUUACAAAGAUGGCGGCGUUAGAGGUCUCAAUAAGAGAGUAUGUAUGUGUUAAAAUAUGCUUGUGUCUGAUAUUCGUAAUUUGAUUGUAUUUUACAGUUAAUCAUCUAUCAAGUGUUGUUGCCAAAAGCAUUGUACUUAUGAGAUUUGAAAAGCGUAAGUUUUGAAUUUGAUUUUCUUUCCAGGUAUGCAUAAACAAUUUUUUAGGAUGAAAGCAAGAACAAAAUGAUGGAAGCUAAGGAACUUUUUGAAUAGAUCCUGAAGCAACCAUAUUUUGAAGUUUUAUACUAUUUUGAUAUUUAACAUUUGUUCCUUUAUUUUCUUGACAGAAAAUGUCCUUCAUGUUAUUUUUAAACAAGUUUGACAUAUUUGAGAAGAAUAAAACUUAUAGUGCAUAUCUAUAUUGGUUCAUGUAUUUAUGUUUUAACAAUCGGUUAGCAUCCGACAGGAUAUUUAUGCAUCAUUUGUGGAUCAAGUUGGCAGAACUACCUUUGUCUGGCGGUAGCUGAGUCCUAUUGUAUUAAUCUCGGUGUUGGGCAUUUGAAAAAACUAUGGCAAAGUCGAAAUCAUUUUCUGUUAUUAUACGGUGAUGUGCGGGAAGGUGGAAUUUUCAGUAUUUCUUUUUCUGGUGAAGUUGUUCUAACUAUAAAAUUCAGUUUCUCUCUAUUUUGAUUUAGGCGAAUGCAAUCGGGUGCAGCAGCUCUAAUGAGGAAAGUUGAAAAAUUGAAACUAUUGUGAUUGUUCGAUAUCAUACAUUGGAAUUUAAAUUCUACAAUAUGCAUGGUGAAGUGGAUUGUGUUGGGGACAAGUUUUGGUACUCCUCAGGGGAAGCCAAAGUAUAUACCAUGGAAUGAUGAUUUGUUUGAGUCCAUAAUGCAGAUAUAUAAAACCUCUUUUUCUUUUAGGAACAGGUAUUAAUUUUCAUUUCAUUUCUAAUAUUUGUUGGUUGAAUAUCUAUUAUGUUUAGGGACAAAAUUAUAUACAAAUUGAAUACAUAACUAUCUUUAUUUGUUGGUUAAAUACAUUUUUACGAUUAGGUGUGUCGUUGUAUCUUCAAAAUUUGCACAUAGCAUUGUUCAUGCUUUCAGACCCUUUGAACAAGUUUGGGAAGAGCUUUGUAAUGAUAUAAGAGAAGGUGUUCUUUCUAGCAGAGUCAUGGUUCCGUCUAUUCAUACAGCUUUGUAGAAAUUGCUCAAACCGAAUGCAGAGUUAGCAAACGUAAUUCAUAAGAAAUGUUCGGGAUUAAUUCUUUUGUAAUUUGGUUUUUUGGCAUUUUAUAAGAAAAUUGGUUCUUAAUGCCAACCAAUUUAAGCUUGACAGUGAUGUUGUGGAUUGAGAAAAUGGACUUAAGAAUCAUGAACUACAAGCAUAGAAUUUACACUUUCAUUGUUAAUAUGAAAAAGGCAAGAGUCUCUGAUGUGGCAUACUUACUGAUUCUGUUAAAUAUCUUGACGGGAGCUGAAUAUUUACAAUCUCUGUAUAAAACAACUCAGACGUGUAUAUUGAAGAUCAAUUUAUGGUUAUAUAAUCAUAGUUUCUUCUAUUUCAAGUUGCAGAGUAUGGCAAUCUGAAUCUUGUGUAGCAAGCAAACUGAGGUUUCUAAACUUGGAAACAGUGGCAAAUUCCAAAUGAAGGGAAAUUCAAGGACUAACAUCAAAGAUGUCCUAAAGUUGCAUAUCUCAGGGGGAGUAAAAGAGUAUGAAGAUCAGCAAAGACAAUGUUUUUCGCUUCUAUCCAUUUGCAAAGUCUUUUCAAAUACUAAUCUUGAAGAAAGAAGAACAAAGUCACACAAAAACCUCAGAACAUAACUCAAAUCAUGUUUAUUCUCAAAAGACCAGCAAAGAAUAUUCUUUGCAUUAUCAUCUGACGACAUGAAUUGAUGGUGUGUAUCACUUGUUCUGAUCUAAGUGCAUGAUCCAACCUAUGCACAAUUCCGCCUGGUGUAGUUCGUUCUCAAAUAACAUUUCUUGAUGAAGACUUUGGUUAAAAUCCAGGUAUGUUGUUUAAAUUGCUCAGAUUUAUAGAGUCUUUUCGUUUGAGUUAAGUCUUGUUUGAGUCCCUCAUGUUCUUCUUUCGGAUAUGAGAAGUUUCUAGAGUCUAGGUUAUGAUUGUCUACUUGAGUCAAUCAUAGGGUUUAAGGGUAGUGUUCAGGCAUUGUUAAGUCUGAGGUCAUUCUUUACAACUGAUUGGUAAAGAAUAAAGAGUCUUGUUUCGAGUCGUGAACACAAAUCGUUUCUUGUGUUCCAAGUCCUCUAUAGAGAAAGUGUUAUCUCUAUGGAUAGUCAGAGUUAGUUUGAGUUCAGAUGAACUUGUGUCUUAAGUGGUACUAACAUCACAAGGUACGUAUUUCCUGGAAGAAGGACUGGGAAUAUACAUUAGAAGUUUGAAAAAGCAACAUUAUUGUCUAAAGUGACAAUUCAGACAUAAUGUGGAUUAGAAUGGGCAGGUUCUGAUCUGGAUGUUAGUAAUAUGUUCUGGAAAUACAUAAUUACUUUCAUGAUGAAGACUUCACUUAGUGAAGAUGACUAUGAAGACAAAAGUUCUAUGAUCGGAUCAACGCAUCUAAGGAUAAAGGAGAAUCACUUCUGUUCAAGGAGUAUGUUAAUCAAUGUGUGAGAUUGAAAAACACCUUAUCAAGAAGGAUUUCGAAGUGUCUUAAGCAGACCAUGAUCUGAUUCAAACAUGGUAAGGUUAUGCUCAACAAAAUUCAAGGAGUGGCAGUUCUGUUUGUUGAGAUUGUGGCAACCUCUCUCUGUGUGUGCUUCUAGUAUCAAGAGGUCAUCUGUUGAUCAUUUCUGAAGGAGAUAAGUUCUUAGGCAAGGGUCUAUUAAAAAAAGAGAGAUGAAACUUGUGGAGAAUACUAGUAGUACAAAUAUCAGACACAAUGUUAUGACAUUCUACUUCUCGUGUAAGUAUUUAGUGUAAGGAACAAAUUUUCUAUAGUGAAUGUGUUCAGCAGAAUUGUUGAACAGAGGGUGCGGCUCUUGAAGAUAUGAAGAUGAGUCUUAUAUUUUCCAUUCAUCAUUUCAAGUUUAUUCCAUUGGGAAAGCUCAAACUAUCUCAGAUAUGGGGAGUAACUUCUUUUGUCAAGAAAAGUUUCUUGGUUAAAAAUACUUUUACAUCAUGAAGUAAAUGUGAUACUUUUGUCAGUUAUUUAUGAAUGGUUCAAGCUAACUAUGUGCAACUGGUAACCACUAUUGCUUAUCUACACUAAUGAGGUAGCUGUGUGUCUAACAGUCUCAAGGUGUCCAGAACGUUAGAAGUCUUUGUCUAUGACUAGUGAGUAAGUAGGGAGUCUGUUAAUUGGUCCAAAUGAUGCUCUGUCUUAAUCUUUUACGGAAUCUUGGGCUAUGUGCUUGAAGGAAAGACAAGUGACAAUGUCUAACAUAAUGUCAUGACAUGUUUAAAGACAUUGAAUCCUCAAAGUCAAACAAGGAAGUCUGACUUGAAGUUUAUCUACACAUCAAUGGUCGGUGUAAAGUACAAUCAAUGACUAUGCAUGCACUGGUAAUUCAAGAUAACUCCUAUCAGAAAAACAGUCAAAAACUGCUUUGGAAAGAGUAAUAGCUUUUGGAACUGUUUCCUAAUUAACCGUUUGACCAUUGAACAAGACCAAAGACCAUCGUUAUUUCCUAUAAUCUCCAUUUGCUAUAUAAUAGCAUCUCCAUGAAUUACAGAUAUCAAACUCUCUAUAAAUGUCAUUCGUGUGCAUUCUUGUGAGUCGAGUCUGGGUUUGGUAUUGUGAUGGGUUGCUAUACCAAAACCUCCUCAGAAAAAGAAAAACAUGGGUUGGGGAUGUUGAUGGUCUCUACCAUGGGUUUUUCUGCAAUAACAACAAAGAUGUUCCACUAUAUACAACCUUCAGUAUAGAAAUCAUUUUUGUUGUGAUUUGUGAUCUGAGUUAUGAACACAAAUUGUGAUUUGUGUUCUGACUUACAAGGAAUAACGGCAAGAAUCCAGUCUUGGUUCCCUUGAGAACUCGAGCUAGGAGUGGAUUUCUUGACACAGACAAAAAGUGUCUCCCAGGAUUAGCCGUUAUAUUCAAUUGCAAUGUAUGACACAGUGUCGAUCUUUGUCAUAUUAUGGCUAAAAAGGGGGAAAGAUACUGAUGCUGAUUUUGCUACUGAAAGCAAACAUGACCAAGUCCUUGUUGUCUAUAAAGUUGAAGUUGCUGCUGACUGUUACAAGAAUAGUUUUAGCCAAAAUAAGCCAAAAGGGGAGAUUGUUGAUGCUCUGUCUGUUCUUUAUUAUUGUCUAAUGUUUGGCUAAAACAUAUAUAGCAGCAAAUGGUCAAAAUAUGAAUCUUGCAAGUUUAAAAAGAACACAAAAGGUAUAAGCAGAUGUUAGAUGGAAUGUCAUGACAUCAACUCAUGACAUCGCGCCUGCAAAACUGGAAGAAAGAUUCAGUUUGUACUUAACAGAUACAGGAUAUUCGCAGAAUAUUUUGUAAUCCUAUGUGGCGCAUAUUUAAAGGUCAAAAGAAUAAUUGAAGAAUCAGAUCAGAAGAUUGAAGAUUCAGGAAGAAUCAGAUCAGAAGAUUGAAGAUUCAGCAGUUUCUAAUUUAGGAGAUAAAUUAGGAAACUCAUGAUUAAAAGACCUUAUUUGUAGCAGAAUAUUUCUGCAUAUUUGUAACAGCAAUGAGUGUUGCGAUUUGUAAGCCCAAAUCCAGUUUGGAUCAGGUUAUAAAUAGGAAACUUUGUAACCUAGUUUGAUAUAGAAAACCUUGUUUUUAACGAUGUAGUCAUUAGGGUUUCUAUAGGUAGACCACCCACGUUGUGGGAUGGCUGCCAUGUUCUUCUCGAAACCUGUAGGUUAAAGAAGUGAUUGUCCUCACUCGAAACCUGUAGGUAAGAGUUGAGUAUUGUAAACUUGAUUGAAGUUGUGAAGCAAGAUCAAGUAUGUGUUCAUUGUUAAUUAUGUAAAUAGCUGUUACAGGGUUGUAACAGUUAGGUAUCACUAGGGAGUGAGCAAAGGUUCUCUUGUCUUGGAUGGAGUUCUGAGAUAAAGGUUGCAUUGGGUAGUGACUAGGUAAACCAGAGGUUGUUUAUCUGUAAACCAGAGGUUGUUUACAUAAAAUAGUACUAGUGAUAGUGAAAUCUUCUUCCUGGCUUGGUAGCCCCCGGAGUAGGUAGUUAGACCGAAUUGGGUUAACAAUUAACUGUGUUAUUUAUCUUCUGCAUUAUUUGUUCAGUUAUGAAUGUUAUGACUUUGUUUAUAACAUCAGGUUCAGAAGUGUUAGUUGUUCCUAAACAGAACCAUGUAAAAAUUAUAAUCUGGUUAUGUCUACUGAACAUGUGUGAUCCCAGGUCUCAUUGACUUCUUUUUGAAGUAAUUAAUUAAUGAAGGAUCCUCCUAUUCUGCUUAUGCUACAUUAAUAACAGAUCAGAUGUCUUGACAUCGGGAUUGACAUCCGAGUCUGUCACACCAGAAUUUUCAAUAAGAAAUUCAAAAACAUUUCUGAACCCUAAAGUAGCAGUGAAAUUGGUGAGACUAAAGUCAUGGUAAAGACUUAGCUCAUUCGUUUAAAACAGAGUUGCCACCGCGCUUUAUUGUUUCCAAAAGGAAUGAGAGAAAGAGCGAUUAAAACACAAAGAAGUUUUUAAAAUCAAAACUUAUUAACUUAUUAGAGAUUUGGGUAAGGGGGUUUGUUAUACAAGGGGAAGGUUUUAAGCACCCCUCAUAUCCAUGGUAUCCCAUGGGAACCUCUUUGAAAAUGUUAUUGUUUUUGUGCACAUUCAUUUGAAAAGCAUAUGUGAAAUUUGUUUAAAAAGAGUGUGGCGAUGGGAAAAGAACUUUUUGAAAGUGAGCUCGAUAAGACAUCGCAUCUUAGGCCUACAUACCCCUUUUAAAGAAAAGGGAAGUCAUAGCUUUUGUAGUUCCUCAUAAAAAGGAAAAUAAAAGGAGGGCCAAAGUGGCCAAAAUAUUUUUGGUUGUUGAGCUUUAACAAUAUUCAACGGGUUUUUAAAAGGGGACCAAGCUUUAACAAUACAAGGUCAAUGGACUAAUAGUAGUUUCACCGGGAAUAAUUCUUCUAUUAGUACCAAAGUUUUAAAACAAAGGGUUGGUUGAGCUUUAACAAUACAAAACCAAUAAAAAGGGACUAAGAUUUAACAAUAUAAGGUCAAUGGACUAAGAGUAGUUUCACCGGGAAUAAUUCUCCUCUUAGUGCCAAGGUUUCAAAACAAAAGGUUGGUUGAGCUUUAACAAUACAAAACCAAGGAUGCGUUUAAAAAGGUUGAGCUUUAACAAUACAAAACCAUUUUAACAAGUGAAAAGCUUUAACAAUACUUGAACACAGAGUAAAAGAGAUUUGGAAAAGAGUUUGAGUAUCUUGACAAUUUUAGUCAAUACCAUUCUCAUUCUUUUGGAUUUUCAACAAACAACUUAAGCAAUCAAUCAAUGGAUACCUCAGGUGUGUGUGAUAACAUGUGUCACAAAAGACAAACAAGUAAGUAUGGUAAUCAUCGAUGAUAAUGAGCAAGGAUAUUUAUACCUUUGUAUUAAUUCAUGUAUGAAUGAAUGAUGGAUAUGAAUCUCAUGUAUAUGGUUAGAUAAACAAGAUAUAUACAAAGAUAAUAUAUAUAUAUAUAUAUAUAUAUAUAUAUAUAUAUAUAUAUAUAUAUAUAUAUAUAUAGUGGAUACAAGUACAAAAACACAAGGAUGGAAAUCAACAAGUAUAUGUACAAGUACAAAAGACAAUGAUCUAGAUAAACAAGUCCAUUUAACUUGAAUAACAAAGAUCAAGCUAUUUUUUGAAUUAGGGUUUUGAAAUCAACACCUAAACCUAAUUAAUUUUUUAAUGAUUAAAUACCAAAUUCUAAAGGAGAAUUGGUCUAAGGGUACAUGAGAAAGUCAAUGACACAUUAUCCUAACCCUAAAAAUAUAUUCACAAAAAUACACAAGGUUGAUUUGAAGAAAAUAUUCAAAAGAAACAAAUUUUUGUUGAUUUUUUAACACUUAAAAAGACAUAUUUUUUAUUAAUUUUUUAAUGAUGAAAUAAUAAAUAUUUUUGGAUUUUUUUAAUCAUAACAUGAAAAUAUACAAGUUAAAUAAGUAACAUAAAAAAAUCAAACCAAAAUAAUUAAUUUUUCUAUUUUAAAAUGAUUUUCAAAGUUUAAUAAAAAAGUGAAGAAAAUAAGUUGUAAAAAGAAAGGAUUGGCCCAUAGAGGUUUGAACCCACGCCUCUUGCUUUGCAGGUCAAAAGAUUGACCACUGGGCCAUGCGCUUGGCCCAAUCAAAGGAUGCGUUUAGUCCAAUACAAGGCAACACAAACUUGGAAAAUAUGAAAAAAAAUAAAAUGGAAAAGGUCGGGGGCGAGGGGAAUUCGAACCCCAGACCUAGAGGACGCGCGCAAUACACACACUAAACCAAUUGAGCUAAAACGAUGUAGUCGUUCAUAACAUGCCUCUAUCUCAUUUUAUUUUAAACUCUCAUUUUAAAACUGAAGAAUGGCACCAAGGCCAUCUUCAUCUUCUUCGUGAGACCAACAAGAUCAACCAUGGCUGGAACUUCAAACUUUCCUAAAUCUUAAUCAAAUUCAACAAAAUAAAAGUGCAUUCUGAUCCAUUUUUGAACACGAAUUUAACCACAUGAUUAACAAUAAUUAAUUCAUACUCAAACUCAUGAAUUUCUGGAAACAACGUAUGAAUCCUAAUUUUUUAAAUUUCAA